ACCUUUCUAUAUCAAGCCAAACAAUGCUAAAUUUCCUGGCCGUUCUGUUUUAUGUAAAUAAGUGUGAUACAGGUCAUGCUCUAUACUACUAAUAAUCUUUGGACAUAUUACUUGCUCUCUCUCUCUCUCUCUCUCUCUCUCUCUCUCUCUCUCUCUCUCUCUCUCUCUGUGCGUAGUCUUGUUGUUUAUGAUGUAGUCUGCUCAGUCGGUUCCUUAAUUAGAUGACUGGUUGCUUUUGUGCUUGGCCUACCG
This 252-nucleotide long non-coding RNA is filed under the name Eucalyptus grandis. RNAcentral describes it as "long non-coding RNA (EGRA_LNC003777)". Lineage: Eukaryota; Viridiplantae; Streptophyta; Magnoliopsida; Myrtales; Myrtaceae. The record is from RNAcentral.